AAGGCCCUAAGGAAAGGUGGACAAGGUUUAAGGAGGGUUUUAAGGCGGCGACUUCACAGAGUCCCUAUUUCACCUUCUCUCUCUUCUCUUUCUCUCUCAUGUAUCAUCUUCUUCGUCGGAGUCUCUCUGAAUUUGAUCGCACUAUCUUCGAGUCCGCCAUUGAAUUUCUCUCAGAUUUGACGUCAAUUUAAUGUCCAUCGGUAAACCCUCUCUAAUCCCCGCAAAUUUCAGCGAAGGAAUUGGCCAUUUCCGACCAUCCGAGAGCAAAGCCCUAAUCUUCCCCGCGGAACCAUCGCCAAUGUGGAGAAACUGCGCCAAGCAAGCCUUCUGGAGAACCCGCUGUUGUCGUCUCAGUUCUCAGUCUUCUUCUCCCGCUUCCCGGCACUUUCUCGAGAAAUCGCCGGAACCGAAUUUCCCUAACAAGCUCAAGUCUCGGCCUUUCGAGCUGGUUCCGGGCUUAACUCGUGGAGAAGUAUCUGUGAGAAGUUCUGAUUUUGGGAAUUUGAGGAAUCCGAGUGGGUUUAGCGUGUUUUGCCCCAGGGGAUUUUCGAGCGUGGCCGAGGCGGUCUCGUCUCCGACGGAUGUCGAGGAAGACGUCUUGGUGGAUGAGGACUUUCAGGAGCUGAUGCAGGAUGUGGGGAAAGAGGAGAAAAGGCGGGUCCGGCAUUGGCAGCAGAGGAGGCUGGCGGUUGCGAGAGGAAUGGGGCAGAGUAGGUACGAGUUUCUGAAGAAGAGGCAGGUGAAGAUCGAGACGGAAGCGUGGGAGAAGGCGGCGGCGGAGUACAGGGAGCUUUUGAUGGAUAUGUGCUCGAAGAAGCUGGCGCCGAAUCUGCCCUACAUGAAGUCGUUGUUCCUCGGUUGGUUCGAGCCGCUGAAGAAGGCCAUUGAGCAGGAGCAGGAGCUGUACCGGGAGGGAAAGAAGAGGACGAUGUGCUCGCCGUUCUUUGCUCAGUUGUCGCCGGAGAUGAUGGCGGUCAUCACGAUGCAUAAGUUGACGGGGCUGCUGAUGUCGAGAGACGAGUAUGGCAUUGCCCGGGUUGUUCAAGCUUCUCUUUUGAUUGGAGAUGCCAUUGAACAGGAGGUUAAAAUACAAAGAUUCUUGGAAAAGUCCCAAAAUAAAAAAGUUGGUAAAGAUGGGGAAAAUAGAGGAGAGCCUGGCUCCAAGGUAGAAGAGAAGUUGAAGAAAAGAGUCACCAAAUUGAUGAAACAAAAAAAACUGCGGGCAUUGAGACAGACAAUGAACGAAUGGGAUGGUUCGAAACCCUGGAGCCAAAGCAUCAAGGCUAAGGUUGGAAGUCGUCUGAUUGAAUUGUUGAUUCAAACAGCUUACAUACAACCUCCUGUUGAUCAGUUUUCUGAUGAUCCGCCUGAAAUACGACCAGCAUUUGUACACACACUUAAGACUUUGACGAAAGAUCCAAAAAAAACUGGCAAAAAAUUUGGUUUCAUUCAGUGUGAUCCUCUAGUUGUCAAAGGCCUUGAGAAAUCUGCAAACCACGUGGUGAUUCCUUACAUGCCUAUGUUGGUACCCCCAAUCAAGUGGAAAGGCUAUGACAAAGGAGGGCACUUUUUCCUACCAUCCUAUCUCAUGCGUACUCACGGAGUAAGACAACAGCGUGAAGCUGUCAAAAAGGCCCCAAGAGAGCAACUGGAACCAGUUUUUGAGGCCUUGGACACUCUUGGGCAUACCAAAUGGAGGAUUAAUAAGAGGGUUCUCGAUGUUGUAGAGAGAAUAUGGGCUGGUGGAGGCCGUCUUGGUGAUUUGGUAGAUCGUGAUGAUGUUCCUUUACCAGAGAAACCAGAUACUGAAGAUGAAGCACUGCUAAAGAAAUGGAAAUGGGAAGUUAGGUCUGUGAGGAAAGAGACUAGAGAGAGACAUUCUCAGCGGUGUGACACAGAACUUAAACUGUCGGUGGCAAGGAAAAUGAAGGACGAAGAAGGUUUCUACUAUCCUCACAAUGUUGACUUUCGAGGCCGUGCAUACCCUAUGCAUCCACACUUAAAUCAUCUUGGUUCAGAUUUGUGCCGGGGUAUUUUGGAGUUUGCAGAGGGACGUCCUCUGGGAAAAUCAGGCUUGCGUUGGCUGAAAAUUCACCUGGCUAAUUUAUAUGCUGGUGGUGUGGACAAAUUAUCUCAUGAGGGACGAAUAGCAUUUGUUGAGAAUCACUUGGAUGAAAUAUUUGAUUCUGCAGACAGACCAAUAGAAGGAAAGCGUUGGUGGUUGAAUGCAGAAGAUCCAUUUCAGUGCUUGGCUGUGUGCAUUAACCUUUCUGACGCUUUGAGAAGUUCUUCUCCGGAAACAUUUAUUUCUCACGUCCAUGUACAUCAGGAUGGCUCUUGCAAUGGUUUACAACACUAUGCCGCUCUAGGAAGAGACAAGUUGGGAGCAGCUUCCGUUAAUUUGGUUGCGGGAGAGAAACCUGCAGAUGUUUACUCGGGAAUAUCUGUAAGGGUAUUGGAAAUAAUGCGUAGAGAUGCAGAGCAGGAUCCUGAAGUUUUCCCCGAUGCAUUGCGUGCAAAAGCAUUAAUUAAUCAGGUGGAUAGGAAGUUGGUGAAGCAAACAGUGAUGACUUCAGUAUAUGGCGUCACUUAUAUUGGUGCUAGGGAUCAAAUCAUGAGGAGGUUGAAGGAACGAGGUCUCAUGUUGGAUGAUAAGGACCUCUUUGGCUGUGCUUGUUAUGCUGCUAAGGUCACCUUAACUGCUUUAGGGGAGAUGUUUGAAGCUGCACGCUAUAUAAUGAGCUGGCUUGGGGAUUGUGCAAAAAUUAUUGCGUCUCAGAAUGAGCCAGUGAAGUGGACAACUCCGCUUGGGCUUCCCGUUGUUCAACCAUACCGUAAACUAGGGAGGCAUUUUAUCAAAACCUCACUUCAGGUUUUGACAGUACAUCGAGAAACAGAGAAGGUCAUGGUCAAGAGGCAGAGAACCGCAUUCCCACCAAAUUUUGUCCACUCCCUUGAUGGUUCUCAUAUGAUGAUGACUGCGGUAGCCUGCAGAAAGGCAGGCAUAACAUUUGCCGGAGUUCAUGAUUCAUACUGGACACAUGCAUGCGAUGUGGAUGAAAUGAACAGGAUACUGCGAGAGAAUUUUGUCGAACUAUACAAGACUCCAAUCCUGGAGAAUUUAUUGGAGAGAUUCGAAGAAUCUUUCCCCGGACUGGCCUUCCCCCCUUUGCCUGAACGGGGUGAGCUUGACCUAAAGGAUGUGUUAGAGUCGCCAUAUUUCUUCAACUGAUCAACACAGGAGUGUGUCCUCAUGUCAGAUGCCACAUGCUUCUGGUGAUGUUCCAUCUCAAAUAAUCCAGUCCACUUCCAUUGACAAGCAUGUAAAGGAAAAUAGAGGCAAAGAGGAUCCUCACAGAAACAUGCUAUAUCGCAUCAGUUGUAUGUUGAAGGCAGUUAUAAAGGUGACCCGAGGGAACUGGUGAUGUAGUGUGUUGGUCACAUGUAACUUUUGGAACACUGUUAAGGGAAGUAUGACCUUAAGGGGGUUAUUAGAGCAGGGUAUCAUGGUGACUUGGAGCUUUACUGACAGUAGAUAGAACCAGAUCUGAGAAAUGGAUCUCGAAUCACAGAAUAACCAGAAAUUUCACGAAAUAACGCAGAUUUUACAGGGAAAUCUAGUUUGAUGGAUCAGGGCGACAAGGCUGGGUAGAGUAUUGACUAGAGAGAAAAUGUCGACUAAGGACUGUCCGCAGAGAGAAGUCGAGAGCCUACUGAUAUGAGAGAAGGAUUUAAGAAGAUUGUGUACCAGUUGUGACAAGCGGAAGAAAGCAAGGAAACAGGCGCAGCUUUGACAAAGUUCCUUGUUACAUAUGAUAGUUGAUGAAUUAUUCUUGUUACUUAUUGCACAAUUUUGGUUGUACGGGAAUAAAAAUUACUUAUGUGGUACGUCAAAAGAUGUUGAUUUACCAUCAUCCACAUGUCUAUUGUAAAAAUCCCAAAAGUCACAGACUGAUUCGGAUUAUAUUGGUC
Molecule: RNA transcript, 3972 nt
Organism: Morus notabilis
Lineage: Eukaryota; Viridiplantae; Streptophyta; Magnoliopsida; Rosales; Moraceae
Gene name: DNA-directed RNA polymerase 2B, chloroplastic/mitochondrial
Exons: 20
Source: RefSeq, a predicted model, not a curated record